This 467-nucleotide ribosomal RNA is filed under the name uncultured bacterium. RNAcentral describes it as "partial 16S ribosomal RNA". It matches the Rfam family "Bacterial small subunit ribosomal RNA", at positions 28 to 507 of the family's 1533-position model. The record is from RNAcentral.
GACGAACGCUGGGGCGUGCUUAACACCUGCAAGUCGAACGGAAAGGCCCUGCUUUUGUGGGGUGCUCGAGUGGCGAACGGGUGAGUAACACGUGAGUAACCUGCCCUUGACUUUGGGAUAACUUCAGGAAACUGGGGCUAAUACCGGAUAGGAGCUCCUGCUGCAUGGUGGGGGUUGGAAAGUUUCGGCGGUUGGGGAUGGACUCGCGGCUUAUCAGCUUGUUGGUGGGGUAGUGGCUUACCAAGGCUUUGACGGGUAGCCGGCCUGAGAGGGUGACCGGCCACAUUGGGACUGAGAUACGGCCCAGACUCCUACGGGAGGCAGCAGUGGGGAAUAUUGCACAAUGGGCGGAAGCCUGAUGCAGCAACGCCGCGUGCGGGAUGACGGCCUUCGGGUUGUAAACCGCUUUCGCCUGUGACGAAGCGUGAGUGACGGUAAUGGGUAAAGAAGCACCGGCUAACUACGUG